GAUGAACGCUGGCGGCGUGCCUAAUACAUGCAAGUCGAGCGAACAGACGAGGAGCUUGCUCCUCUGACGUUAGCGGCGGACGGGUGAGUAACACGUGGAUAACCUACCUAUAAGACUGGGAUAACUUUGGGAAACCGGCGCUAAUCCCGGAUAAUAUAUUGAACCGCAUGGUUCAAUAGUGAAAGACGGUUUUGCUGUCACUUAUAGAUGCAUCCGGGCCGCAUUAGCUAGUUGGGACGGUAACGGCUUACCAAGGCGACGAUGCGUAGACGACGUGAGAGGGUGAUCGCCGACAUGGGAGCUGAGACACGGUCCAGACUACUACGGGACGCAGCAGUAGGGAACCGUCCGCAAUGGGCGAAAGUCUGACGGAGCAACGCCGCGUGAGUGAUGAAGGCCUUCGGUUCGGAAAACUCUGUUAUGAGGGAAGAACAAAUGUGUAAGUAACUAUGCCCGUCUUGACGGUACCUAAUCAGAAAGCCACGGCUAACUACGUG
Molecule: ribosomal RNA, 497 nt
Filed under: uncultured bacterium
Lineage: Bacteria
Description: partial 16S ribosomal RNA
Rfam family: Bacterial small subunit ribosomal RNA
Source: RNAcentral